AUUGAACGCUGGCGGCGCGCCUAAUACAUGCAAGUCGAGCGAGAAGACGUAGCAAUACGUUUGUAAAGCGGCGAACGGGUGAGGAAUACAUGGGUAACCUACCCUCGAGUGGGGAAUAACUAGCCGAAAGGUUAGCUAAUACCGCGUACGCUCCUUGGACUUCGGUUCAGGGAGGAAAGACGAUACCGUGGGUAUCGCGCUCUUGGAUGGGCUCAUGUCCUAUCAGCUUGUUGGUGAGGUAACGGCUCACCAAGGCUUCGACGGGUAGCUGGUCUGAGAGGACGAUCAGCCACACUGGCACUGCGACACGGGCCAGACUCCUACGGGAGGCAGCAGUAAGGAAUAUUGCGCAAUGGGCGAAAGCCUGACGCAGCGACGCCGCGUGGGGGA
This 390-nucleotide ribosomal RNA is filed under the name uncultured bacterium. RNAcentral's name for it is "bacterial SSU rRNA". It matches the Rfam family "Bacterial small subunit ribosomal RNA", at positions 30 to 408 of the family's 1533-position model. The record is from RNAcentral.